RNAcentral lists this long non-coding RNA (632 nucleotides) under Nicotiana benthamiana. Its description in RNAcentral is "long non-coding RNA (NBEN_LNC019244)". Lineage: Eukaryota; Viridiplantae; Streptophyta; Magnoliopsida; Solanales; Solanaceae. The record is from RNAcentral.
AAGUUGAAUAGUAAAAAAUCUUUGGGCGAAAGGCAAAUAGGGCUCAUCCUUGAUUUCAUGAAAUGCUUCCUUCGCUUCCAUGCCAAAUUGAAACUCAUCUUUCUUCCUCAACAUGAGGCUUGUAGACUCGUGACGCAACACGACUGAACGACUUAAUGUUUCAGGUUCACAGGAAGAUUCUGGACAGAAGUAUUCAAACUCUUACUUUCUUCGCCUCCAUGCCAAAUUGAAAGUCAUCUUUCUUCCUCAACAUGAGGCUUGUAGACUCGUGAUGCAACACGACUGAACAACUUAAUGUUUCAGGUUCACAGGAAGAUUCUGGACAGAAGUACUCAAACUAUGGGGUCAAAUAAAAGCUGAACUUCUCCACGAGUCUUCAUCCCCAUUUCAGUUAGGGCAGAUGGCCGAAAGGAUCAAUGCGUUAUUGGAGGAGUACCGCUCCGUGGGGCACUUUGUGAGUGCCAACCGGGUGCAGCUGCUGGACGUAGCACAAUUCUGCUAAAACUUGCAAAAAAGCUCUGCAUCUGUCUGUUCGAGUUAGCGAUAGGCCAGCAACCUUUGGCUCCCCACACGGUUGUGGCCGGCUACACGGGAAGGAGCCCCUCUGCUUACAAGUUUGCUAAGGAUUGGCA